ACAUGAAGUCGAACGGUAACAGGGAGCUUGUCGCUUGACGAGUGGCGAACGGGUGAGUAAUAUAUCGGAACGUACCCAAGAGUGGGGGAUAACGUAGCGAAAGUUACGCUAAUACCGCAUACGAUCUAUGGAUGAAAGCAGGGGAUCUUCGGACCUUGUGCUCCUGGAGCGGCCGAUAUCUGAUUAGCUAGUUGGUGAGGUAAGGGCUCACCAAGGCGACGAUCAGUAGCUGGUCUGAGAGGACGACCAGCCACACUGGAACUGAGACACGGUCCAGACUCCUACGGGAGGCAGCAGUGGGGAAUUUUGGACAAUGGGCGCAAGCCUGAUCCAGCAAUGCCGCGUGAGUGAAGAAGGCCUUCGGGUUGUAAAGCUCUUUUGUCAGGGAAGAAACGGUAGGGGCUAAUAUCCUUUGCUAAUGACGGUACCUGAAGAAUAAGCACCGGCUAACUACGUGCCAGCAGCCGC
Molecule: ribosomal RNA, 468 nt
Filed under: uncultured beta proteobacterium
Lineage: Bacteria; Pseudomonadati; Pseudomonadota; Betaproteobacteria
Description: bacterial SSU rRNA
Rfam family: Bacterial small subunit ribosomal RNA
Source: RNAcentral